AACGAACGCUGGCGGCAGGCUUAACACAUGCAAGUCGAGCGAGGUUUUCGGACCUAGCGGCGGACGGGUGAGUAACGCGUGGGAACGUGCCCUUUGCUACGGAAUAGCCUCUGGAAACGGAGAGUAAUACCGUAUGUGCCCGGUAACGGGGAAAGAUUUAUCGGCAAAGGAUCGGCCCGCGUUGGAUUAGGUAGUUGGUGGAGUAAUGGCCUACCAAGCCGACGAUCCAUAUCUGGCUUGAGAGGAUGAUCAGCCACACUGGGACUGAGACACGGCCCAGACUCCUACGGGAGGCAGCAGUGGGGAAUCUUAGACAAUGGGGGCAACCCUGAUCUAGCCAUGCCGCGUGAGUGAUGAAGGCCUUAGGGUUGUAAAGCUCUUUCAGCUGGGAAGAUAAUGACGGUACCAGCAGAAGAAGCCCCGGCUAACUCCGUGCCAGCCGCCGCCGUAA
Molecule: ribosomal RNA, 451 nt
Filed under: uncultured bacterium
Lineage: Bacteria
Description: partial 16S ribosomal RNA
Rfam family: Bacterial small subunit ribosomal RNA
Source: RNAcentral